UUUAAUAAUUGUCGAAAUAAAAAAAAUUAAUAUCAGAGCUAAUACUCAGUGAUAGUUUAACUAAAAGCUAAGUGAUCCAGAGGGAUCGAAAUCUUCUGCAGGGAGUUGUCUUGGCGAAGACUAGUGGAGAUCACCUGCGAUGGCGACACCUGGCCACUGCCAUGUGUGUGGUGGAUCGUCAUUCUAGUUGUCUGAAAUCUAGAUUUUGAAAAUAACCGGUUACCAAAACCCCCAAAACCUAAGGUUCAAUCCCUUUAUUUCCCACUCUUCUGCUUUUUCUCCCUCCUUACUCUCUUUUGUUCGGACAAAGCAUAGCAGGUUACUUUACCAUGAGACGCAGAUCGAGGAAAAACCUAGGGCUCUUCAUCCUUUUACUCCAAGCAUUCUUCAUUUCCAUCUUUCAUCUCUCUCAUUCAAACAAAGAAAGUAAAUCGAUCGACAUAACCCUAGGGAACAUUGGAUCAAGCACUUUCUCAGUUUUCUUCUCAAGCAUCGACAGCAUCUAUUAUGCACCAAUACCAGGAAUGAGAUUAAAGACAUCAUUUAUUUUUUGGAUAUUAAUUUUGGCUUUUGAUUAAGGACAUCUAUUUUGCAUAGAAUCAAUUUAAUCCUUUUUUUUUUUUUUUUUUCGUCUCUAUUUAACUUUAUUUUGCUUUAGAUUUAAUAUAUUGAAAACUAACAUUUUGUAGAUUGUAGGUGAUUCUUUAGCUCAAAAAGAAGAGCACCUAGGAUUUUACCCAGGGUAUGAUAGUUUGAAUCUAUCAAGAUUCUUGGAAUUCUAAAUAUUGGUUGUGUGGGGUGUUGCAUAAUGAUUUUCUUACUUGUUUGAAUAGAAACAGAUCUAGUGUUUAUCCCACUAUUGAUUUUAUUUUUUAUAUUUAAUUUUUUUCAUUGAAAUACUUCA
This is a long non-coding RNA of Macadamia integrifolia, 904 nucleotides long. RefSeq lists it as uncharacterized. The transcript is spliced from 2 exons. The record is from RefSeq and is a predicted model, not a curated record. Lineage: Eukaryota; Viridiplantae; Streptophyta; Magnoliopsida; Proteales; Proteaceae.